ACGAGGCACUACGGUGCUGAAGCAACAAAUGCCCUGCUUCCAGGAAAAGCCUCUAAGCAUCAGGUAACAUCAAAUCGUACCCCAAACCGACACAGGUGGUCAGGUAGAGAAUACCAAGGCGCUUGAGAGAACUCGGGUGAAGGAACUAGGCAAAAUGGUGCCGUAACUUCGGGAGAAGGCACGCUGACAUGUAGGUGAAGUGAUUUACUCAUGGAGCUGAAGUCAGUCGAAGAUACCAGCUGGCUGCAACUGUUUAUUAAAAACACAGCACUGUGCAAACACGAAAGUGGACGUAUACGGUGUGACGCCUGCCCGGUGCCGGAAGGUUAAUUGAUGGGGUCAGCGCAAGCGAAGCUCCUGAUCGAAGCCCCGGUAAACGGCGGCCGUAACUAUAACGGUCCUAAGGUAGCGAAAUUCCUUGUCGGGUAAGUUCCGACCUGCACGAAUGGCGUAAUGAUGGCCAGGCUGUCUCCACCCGAGACUCAGUGAAAUUGAACUCGCUGUGAAGAUGCAGUGUACCCGCGGCAAGACGGAAAGACCCCGUGAACCUUUACUAUAGCUUGACACUGAACAUUGAGCCUUGAUGUGUAGGAUAGGUGGGAGGCUUUGAAGUGUGGACGCCAGUCUGCAUGGAGCCGGCCUUGAAAUACCACCCUUUAAUGUUUGAUGUUCUAACGUGGACCCGUGAUCCGGGUUGCGGACAGUGUCUGGUGGGUAGUUUGACUGGGGCGGUCUCCUCCUAAAGAGUAACGGAGGAGCACGAAGGUUGGCUAAUCCUGGUCGGACAUCAGGAGGUUAGUGCAAUGGCAUAAGCCAGCUUGACUGCGAGCGUGACGGCGCGAGCAGGUGCGAAAGCAGGUCAUAGUGAUCCGGUGGUUCUGAAUGGAAGGGCCAUCGCUCAACGGAUAAAAGGUACUCCGGGGAUAACAGGCUGAUACCGCCCAAGAGUUCAUAUCGACGGCGGUGUUUGGCACCUCGAUGUCGGCUCAUCACAUCCUGGGGCUGAAGUAGGUCCCAAGGGUAUGGCUGUUCGCCAUUUAAAGUGGUACGCGAGCUGGGUUUAGAACGUCGUGAGACAGUUCGGUCCCUAUCUGCCGUGGGCGCUGGAGAACUGAGGGGGGCUGCUCCUAGUACGAGAGGACCGGAGUGGACGCAUCACUGGUGUUCGGGUUGUCAUGCCAAUGGCACUGCCCGGUAGCUAAAUGCGGAAGAGAUAAGUGCUGAAAGCAUCUAAGCACGAAACUUGCCCCGAGAUGAGUUCUCCCUGAGACUUAGAGUCUCCUGAAGGAACGUUGAAGACGACGACGUUGAUAGGCCGGGUGUGUAAGCGCAGCGAUGCGUUGAGCUAACCGGUACUAAUGAACCGUGAGGCUUAACC
RNAcentral lists this ribosomal RNA (1378 nucleotides) under Salmonella enterica subsp. enterica serovar Banana. RNAcentral describes it as "bacterial LSU rRNA". It matches the Rfam family "Bacterial large subunit ribosomal RNA", at positions 1569 to 2925 of the family's 2925-position model. The record is from RNAcentral. Lineage: Bacteria; Pseudomonadati; Pseudomonadota; Gammaproteobacteria; Enterobacterales; Enterobacteriaceae.